RNAcentral lists this ribosomal RNA (254 nucleotides) under uncultured Solibacillus sp. RNAcentral's name for it is "partial 16S ribosomal RNA". It matches the Rfam family "Bacterial small subunit ribosomal RNA", at positions 524 to 776 of the family's 1533-position model. The record is from RNAcentral. Lineage: Bacteria; Bacillati; Bacillota; Bacilli; Caryophanales; Caryophanaceae.
UACGUAGGUGGCAAGCGUUGUCCGGAAUUAUUGGGCGUAAAGCGCGCGCAGGCGGUUUCUUAAGUCUGAUGUGAAAGCCCCCGGCUCAACCGGGGAGGGUCAUUGGAAACUGGGGAGACUUGAGUGCAGAAGAGGAAGGUGGAAUUCCAAGUGUAGCGGUGAAAUGCGUAGAGAUUUGGAGGAACACCAGUGGCGAAGGCGACUUUCUGGUCUGUAACUGACACUGAGGCGCGAAAGCGUGGGGAGCAAACAGG